AGGGAUUUAACUCAGUGGCACAGUGCCUGCCUGGCAAGCAUGAGGUCUUGAGUUCGAUCCCCAGUAUCCCCC
Molecule: transfer RNA, 72 nt
Filed under: Fukomys damarensis (Damara mole-rat)
Lineage: Eukaryota; Metazoa; Chordata; Mammalia; Rodentia; Bathyergidae
Rfam family: tRNA
About the family: Transfer RNA (tRNA) molecules are approximately 80 nucleotides in length. Their secondary structure includes four short double-helical elements and three loops (D, anti-codon, and T loops).
Source: Rfam by way of RNAcentral